Molecule: ribosomal RNA, 229 nt
Filed under: uncultured bacterium
Lineage: Bacteria
Description: partial 16S ribosomal RNA
Rfam family: Bacterial small subunit ribosomal RNA
Source: RNAcentral
CGUGUAGGCGGUUCGAUAGGUCCGGUGUGAAAACUCGAGGCUCAACCUCGAGAGGUCGCCGGAAACCAUCGAGCUAGAGUCCGGAAGAGGAGAGUGGAAUUCCUGGUGUAGCGGUGAAAUGCGCAGAUAUCAGGAAGAACACCCAUGGCGAAGGCAGCUCUCUGGGACGGUACUGACGCUGAGACGCGAAAGCGUGGGGAGCGAACAGGAUUAGAUACCCUGGUAGUCC